Long non-coding RNA from Ostrea edulis (European flat oyster), 3221 nucleotides. RefSeq lists it as uncharacterized. The transcript is spliced from 2 exons. NCBI's taxonomy places the organism in Eukaryota, Metazoa, Mollusca, Bivalvia, Ostreida, Ostreidae. The record is from RefSeq and is a predicted model, not a curated record.
UGCUGAUCAAACUCAAAUGCAUAGCCCGAAGUUAAGGAGUCAAGUAAUUGAGUUGUACAAAACUAUGAGUCACUUUCAUCAAUUGGAGUUGGAAUGUUGUUCGCAUCAUCAACAAAUGUUCCCCAGCUUCGAACCCCAAAUCCAGCUUGGCUUCUGUGUACUUCACCUGCAAGUGGUGUCAGAUGUCUCAAUAUGAAUGAAAAUUCUCAACAUGGUGUAAAACAAACAACUUUUCAAUGCGUGUCAGUUUGCUAGAGCUUUAGGGGUAUCAGGGGCGGAUCCAGGAAUUUUUUAGGGGGGUCUACCAUUAAUUUUAGUUUCCAAAAGGGGGUGGAUGGGCUCCACCCUCAAAAUGCGUAUUUAUUUAUUUAUUUAUUCAUUAUUUUUAUGCCCCCGAGAUCGGGGGGGGGGGGGGGGAUAUUGUUUUUGUCCCGUCUGUCAUUGAUAUUUCAUAUGAGUAUUCCUUAUGACAAGACCUUUCCGUGGGUACCAACAUUUUUGACCCUUUGACCUUGGAGAUUGACCUACUUUUUGAAAACUUUUAAUUUCGCUAAUAACUUUUGAACAAUAAGUGAUAGAGCUUUGAUAUUUCACAUGAGUAUUCCUUGUGACAAGACCUUUCCGUUGGUACUAAAGCUUUUGACCUUGACAUUAGACCUACUUUUAAAAGAAUUGACAUUGGUCAUAACUUCUAAAUGGUAAAUAAUAGAGCUUUCAUAUUGCACAUGAGCAUUUCUUGUGACAAGAUCUUUCUACUGGUACCAAGAUAUUUGUCCUUGUGACUUGACCGUCUUCGGAAUUGGCCAUUAUCGGGGACAUUUGUGUUUCACAAACACAUCUUUUUUUAUAUACAUUUUUAAGCAGAAUUUUCUGACAAAAGGGAAGGGGUCGGAACCGUCCACCCCUGGAUCCGCCACUGAGUAUGGUACCCGUAUACGUGCAUACUGGAUAGAUCUCUACUUGUUUUCUAUAUGUGUAUGUAUGUCAGUGUAAUAGAGUAUUAGAAGUAUGAUCUAUCUCAGAGGCCUUCAACUUUGUAUAUAUUACAUGUAUUAUAGUCCUUCAGAUGCCUAAUGGGUAUAUAUAUGUCAUGUUAUUUAUUUAGAAGCCAAGUAAUUUAUUGCUGAAAGACAAUAUGCGUAAUUUUCUGUCCAUCAUAACAUUCAAGCUUAUAAGCAUAAGACAAUGAGGCAGAAACUGAUACAGAAAUGAUAAACAGGAUGUAACGUCCUAUCUGCUUCGGUUUAUAUCAGAAAACUGAUUAUCUCCUUGAUGGGAAUCAAAUGGUCAGACAGGCUGAAAAACCAUUUUGAUAUAUUUUUAACUCAAUCCAGCUACAGUACUUAUCAAAAACCAAUCAGAAUGCCACUGAGCAUGUCUUGAUUUUGACAUUCAUAUCUUUAUUUUCAUUGAAAGUAACACAAUUUCUCGUUUGUCCUUCUUCAAGGUUUUCAUCCCAACGUGUCAAUUAAUUCCUAUUUAAAUUGUAUUCCAAUGGAUUCAUUCAUGGAUACGCUUACAAAUUCACAUUUAGAUAAGUAAUGCAAUGCCAAGCGGGCUAUUUUAAAAAGCGCGAGUAAAUGAGCGAAAACAAGUUAUCGCGUGAACCUGUCUGAGAGAGAUAAAAAGUUCCUUUGGCUAAUGGUCAUAAAAAAAGCUUUUCUAGCCUCUGUAAAUUGUAAAACAUCUUUGAACGUGUUUUGUCUUCUUCAGAAUUUCAGAGACAUACAUGUAAUUUGUUUUUAUGCCUUCGAGAUCGGGGGAGGUGGGCAUAUUGUUUUUGUACUGUCUGUCAUUCUGUAAUUCUGUCUGAAACUUUAACCUUGCUAAUAACUUUUGAACAGUAAGAGCUAGAGCUUUGAUAUUUCACAUGAUUAUUCCUUGUGACAAAACCUUUCUGUUGUUACUAAACCUUUUUACCUUGGCAUGUGAUCUACUUUAAUUUUUUUUUUUUACAUUGGUCAUAACUUCUAAAUGGUAAAUAUUAGAGCUUUCUUAUCACACAUGAGCAUUUUUUAAGACAAGAUCUUUCUACUGGCACCAAGAUGUUUGUCCUUGUGACCUUGGUCAUCUUUUGAAUUGGCCAUUAUUGGGGGCAUUUGUGUUUUACAAACACAUCUUGUUUGAUAAUGCUUUAGAAAUGAUUUGCCGGUGAUUCGGAUCCGAUUCAGAUUGAUACACACAGUUUUGCGAUUCCUAUAGUCGGGUCCAUAGCUUCAUUAUAGAUCAUGACUAAAAUGAAUUAUACUACUAUAAAUAUGAUUUAAAGAAGCAGUGACAAACGUGCAUGGGCUGAGUAUGAGUCGUGACCAUGCUGAAUGGGAAUUUAAUUUGAAUGAAAUUAUUUGGUAGGAUCCCAACUUUACCAGAGGCUCGGAUUUUCUGAAUAUUUCCAAUAUGGUCUUAAAAUAAUCUUUCCUCAAAAAGCAAAGUGUAGGUCACUGAUAGAGGAAUCGGGAUGAUUUUUAUUUUAAGUUUGAAACGGACGACGACCGCGACAGACCUAAUUCGUUAUUAAAACUAGUAGUGACAGUUCAUCGCCAAACGCUCGGCACUGGGUGUGAAUGUCACGGAUCGUCUGAUAUGACCUUAAAAACGAAUGUUCCGUGUCACAGUGGGUGUGACACUUCUCAAUAGCCGUAAGCGCCGAGCAUAGGCCUAAAGUUGAAACCUUUCACGGGUAUUGGUGACGUCUCCGUAUGAGUGAAAAAUUCUCUAGAAGGACGUUAAACAAUAUUCAAUCAACCAUGAAACGGGACGCAUUGAAAAUGAGAUUUCUUUAUGAUAAUUUCAGGCCCUUGUGUGUCGUGUUGCAUACCCAGUGUCCAGUGGCAUAGCUUCCAUUGAGGCAACCGAGGCAGCUACCUCGGUAAAAAAAACAACCCACCUUUUACGUUGUUAAAAUGUCGAUAGCUUCUGGGGGCACAGCCCCCCAGACCCCCUGCCUCGGUAAUAUUCGAACUCAAGCUACGCCUAUGGUGUCGUCCGUAGUAGAGACAACGUAACAUGUUGAGAUACAAUAUUUGAUCCUACUAACAAUCUUGCAGCCUCUCCGUUUUAGCUUAUCAGGAUGGAGAGACCGAAAACACUUGGAAAUGAUUGCUCAUUUAUUUCGCAGCUUUUACACCUUGGUAAAGAGUACCCAAAAGGAUACCCAUACUUCAGAGAUAGGUGCAAGGCAGCAUUCGUGAAGAACAAAGACAAAACAGAUGAAGAAGAAA